This is a long non-coding RNA of Pecten maximus, 527 nucleotides long. RefSeq lists it as uncharacterized. The transcript has 3 exons. The record is from RefSeq and is a predicted model, not a curated record. Lineage: Eukaryota; Metazoa; Mollusca; Bivalvia; Pectinida; Pectinidae.
CAGAAAAUAGGGGCCAAACGGAAGACCAAAGAAACUAUGAUGUGUUAAUUGGGAGACCCGCCCCCAAUGUUUACGACGAGCUCUCUGGACCUGAGGCUGGCCAUACCCGACAAUACGUCAACGUCGUCUUUACCGGGGAUAAUCCAUACCAGGAUGACAUAGAGGUCACUGAGAACAACAGAUAAUAUCAACGUAUUGUCAUAUUAAGUCGAUGUACUCAAUCUCAACAACCAUGUCAAGAUAUUCUUCAUGUUAAUUUGUAAUAAAGAUAGCAGGAUAAAUUUAGUAUUGUUAUGUUACAACCGUGUAUAAAUAUUCCUCAUCUCAAUUGAUUGGUUUAACUAGAGAGUUAUAAACCAGCCUCCUAGUUAAACAAGAUAGUUACAUGUAUAAACUAGCGUCUUAGUUAAACUAAAUAGUUAUAAACAAGCGUUCUAGUUAAACUCGAGAGUUAUAAACUAACGUCUUAGUUAAACUAGAGAGUUAUAAGCUGGCGUUUUAUUUGAGCUAGAUAGUUAUAAACUAGC